RNAcentral lists this transfer RNA (62 nucleotides) under Cosmoscarta dorsimacula. Its description in RNAcentral is "tRNA-Gly". It matches the Rfam family "tRNA". From Rfam's summary of the family: Transfer RNA (tRNA) molecules are approximately 80 nucleotides in length. Their secondary structure includes four short double-helical elements and three loops (D, anti-codon, and T loops). Further hydrogen bonds mediate the characteristic L-shaped molecular structure. tRNAs have two regions of fundamental functional importance: the anti-codon, which is responsible for specific mRNA codon recognition, and the 3' end, to which the tRNAs corresponding amino acid is attached (by aminoacyl-tRNA synthetases). tRNAs cope with the degeneracy of the genetic code in two manners: having more than one tRNA (with a specific anti-codon) for a particular amino acid; and 'wobble' base-pairing, i.e. permitting non-standard base-pairing at the 3rd anti-codon position. Lineage: Eukaryota; Metazoa; Arthropoda; Insecta; Hemiptera; Cercopidae. The record is from RNAcentral.
AUUCUUUUAGUAUAAAAGUAUAUUUGACUUCCAAUCAAAAGGUCUAAUUAGUAGAAAGAAUA